This 67-nucleotide transfer RNA is filed under the name Marmota monax (woodchuck). RNAcentral's name for it is "tRNA.Ala". Lineage: Eukaryota; Metazoa; Chordata; Mammalia; Rodentia; Sciuridae. The record is from RNAcentral.
GGUUAUGGCUCAGCGGUAGAGUGCCUGUCUAGCAUGCCUGUAGCACUGGGUUCAAUCCUCAGCACCA